AUGUCAACUAUUCAACAUGGAGGCGGAGGUCGAUAAGCUGGAACUGAUGUUCCAGAAAGCUGACUCUGACCUGGACUACAUUCAGUACAGGCUGGAAUAUGAAAUCAAGACUAAUUAUCCUGAUUCAGCAGGCAAGAAAAAUCCAGUUACACUUUUAAAGGAAUUGUCAGCAAUAAAGUCUCGAUAUCAAACUUUGCAAGUUCGCUUUAAACCAAUUGCUGGGGCGCAGAAAGAGACUAAGAGCCGCAUUUGUGCUACUUUCAGUAAGACUAUGACCUUGAUACAGGAACUGCAGAAGCAAACAGACCUGGAGUUGUUACCACUGACUGAAGAAGAGAAAACUGCGGCAGAGCAAUUAAGAGCUCACCUGUCAGACUUAUGAGGAAGAAAUGGACUUGCAAAAAGGAACUCUGAUGGGGAAGAAAUCAAUCCCAUAAAUUUAGGAAGAUGUCUUGUUAACAUUGAUGACUAUUGGUCGGGAGAUGACAAAGGAGAUUUGGUUUGGGUGACUGGAUAGUGAUGCCUUCCACAGAAGAGGGGGAUACAAGAGAAGGGCAGAUAUUGUAUUAAUAAAGUUCAGCCAAAGGGGCAGAAUGGAAAUAAAGAGAUUUUAAAAAUAUAUGCACACAUGCUUAGUAAUUUCAGGCAAGGAAAUCCCAACACCAUUUUGUAUCUGUUUUUGUAUAACUGGGAUAACACAGAUGUCCUGACUGACCUAUUGCAAAAGAAUAUUACAUACUGUCAGUCAGUCAGAUGUGAAUGAACAUGCUUGGGAAAUUAAAGGUUAGAAAAAUAUUUGUACUAUA
Molecule: RNA transcript, 806 nt
Organism: Capra hircus (goat)
Lineage: Eukaryota; Metazoa; Chordata; Mammalia; Artiodactyla; Bovidae
Gene name: spindle and kinetochore-associated protein 2 pseudogene
Exons: 1
Source: RefSeq, a predicted model, not a curated record